Molecule: ribosomal RNA, 427 nt
Filed under: uncultured beta proteobacterium
Lineage: Bacteria; Pseudomonadati; Pseudomonadota; Betaproteobacteria
Description: bacterial SSU rRNA
Rfam family: Bacterial small subunit ribosomal RNA
Source: RNAcentral
UGGGGAAUUUUGGACAAUGGGCGAAAGCCUGAUCCAGCCAUGCCGCGUGAGUGAAGAAGGCCUUCGGGUUGUAAAGCUCUUUUAGUCGGAAAGAAAGAGUUGCAAUGAAUAAUUGUGAUUUAUGACGGUACCGACAGAAAAAGCACCGGCUAACUACGUGCCAGCAGCCGCGGUAAUACGUAGGGUGCGAGCGUUAAUCGGAAUUACUGGGCGUAAAGGGUGCGCAGGCGGUCUUGCAAGUCAGAUGUGAAAGCCCCGGGCUUAACCUGGGAAUGGCGUUUGAAACUACAAGACUAGAGUGCAGCAGAGGGGAGUGGAAUUCCAUGUGUAGCAGGGAAAUGCGUAGAGAUGUGGAAGAACACCGAUGGCGAAGGCAGCUCCCUGGGUUGACACUGACGCUCAUGCACGAAAGCGUGGGGAGCAAACA